AACAACUCAUGAAGUUUAUUCACUUGAGGAAAAAAAGGGGGGAAAGGGGUGAGUAAAGAAUACUCAAUGAGGGGAAUCAACUCUGCCCACUGAAACAUAGAACAUUUUCUUAAGCUAUACAACCAUCAUCAUAACAUAUAAACUUAGACACUAGCAAUCACAUAACUUACCUUACUUACUAAACAUUCAUAACAUUCAUCUUAACCAUACAUACAUCGUUAGGUCCAGUCAUCCUCGUGAUGACCAGAACCUCCUGAGUGAAGGGUGGCCCUCGUGGCUCAGACACUCCCAUUCCGGGCUCGUCAGCCGUUCUUGACCAGCUGUUAACCCGUCGGUCCAUCACUGUCCAUCAUUCAUACAUACUCAUAAUCAUACUUAACAUUCUCAUACAUAACAUCACUUUAAUAAACAUCAUACUAACACAUAUCAAACUCAACAAUCAUCAAGUCAUAUCAUCACAUAAUCUUAUCCUAUACAAUCAGAUCUAAGCCUACAUAUCAUGCGUCAAGAAGCAUAACAAAAGAAACGACACUAUGCUUCGCAAAUACCACCCUCACCUUGGUCACUUGAUGAUAACAACUCACUUCUCCUUUCUUCUCCUUUAGACCAAUUUAGUACAAGGCUUUCAUUGCUCACUCUUGGGAUCCAUCUUGGCUCUCCUUCAACAAAUACUUAAGCACAAAAUUCAUGAAGCCUCCUGCAAGGUCUCAGCUCAAACCGAGCUCAUUUACCCAACCAACAACACAAACUCGUCACAAUUUACUUCAUACAAAACUGUCUCGGAAACAUACUUAUAAGUCGAGAACUAACCGUUAAAAAUUAAAUCCCACCGUUGAUUAUCUAGCCUACAAUACCAUGAACAACUCCACAAAGUUUCAGCUCGAUCGGACAUCGUUACAACCUGAUACUAGGAUUUUACUAUCAAUUACCCUAAUAUACUUUCAUGUCAUUGCAGUAUAAGAGGUUAUCAAUCCAAUCAGGUGCUCUUACUAUCAAUCAAGAUAUGCUCAGAGAUAACUAAGUCAAGCCAAGCAGAAUAUUGUUUUGUUAUCUAGCAAUACUAAGCGAUCAUGCAUAAGCGAUAAAACUACAGAACAGGAGUGAUCAUGCAUAAAGAGAAAGAACUAUCAAUACUAAGCAGCAAUAAGUAACAGGUAAGCAACAGGUAAAGAGAUAAGCAAUCAAAUGAGAUAAAAGGUCCUGAGGAUAGGGUAAUCGAUUAUAGCAGUCUCCUUAAUCUACUUAGGUGGUUAACAAUCCAAACAGGCUAUCCCUAGACAAUAGAUUCAACUACAGAUCAAUCCACUCUCGUGACAGAGAUCCUCAAGCAAUACCAGUUCCAGACCUAAUCAUCAUUAGCGAAAUCUAGCAAAGCAGGCAAUAAGAUUCAAUCUAAUAUAGUCAAUAAACAUUCUAAACAUCCAAUCUCUUGGGCUAGAGUAUGUAAAUCUCUGGAGUAGUUGGUUCAGACAUUUCAUCGAACACCUGGUGGGUGUGGAAAUGUCUAGGUUCAAAUCCCAGUUGAUCAGAAAGGAAUAAGCACUAAGUACUACUAAUCCAGAAGGGAUUCAAGCAAUUCUACACUUAACCACCUAAAUAAACUAAGGAUUCCACACCUAAUCUAUCCCAUCCUCAAGAACCCUAAUCCACUACUCAGACAUGCUCAAGAACACAAACCCAGAAAAUUGCACAAACCCAGAAAUCAUUGAAAAUCAAGUAUGUUAUAGAUGAGACAGAGAUCUACAACUUUGAAGAAGAAAGUAAUCGCAAAAACUCAAAGGAUCAAAAGUAAUUUGGAUUACAAAAGUUUGCAGAAAUAUUGUUCAGAGGAUAAAAGCGAGAUCCUUUGGGCAAAGCCCUAAGAGGUCUAUUUAUAGCAAAAGUAGAAAACCCUAGUACACAAAACGACAAAAUAGAAAGUCGGUUUAGGGUCUACUCGAGCUAGUACUCGAGUGGCUUGGUCGAGUAGUCCAUUCUUCAAAGGUUGCAUCUUGCUCGGGUAAGUCUCUCAGGUCCAGUUCGAGUAGCCUGUUCGAGUAGGUUGGUCGAGUAUGUCUUGGUCUUCUCUUCAGAAAUCUGCUCGAGUACACUGCUCUGGCUCUGCUCGAGUACACUGCUCGAGUACACUACUCUGGAACUGCUCUGGCACUGCUCUUGCACUGCUCGAGUACACUGCUCUGGCACUGCUCCUUAGUACCUGAAUGUACCAGAUACAACUCCAAAAUGCAAGAAUGCAUGCUAUGCUAAUGUAGAAUACUCUAAGUAUGCAAAGUGAUGCAAAAUGACUACAAAUGACAGUAAAUAAGAGUGAAUACUAAGCUAAAUGCAUAGCAAAUGUAUGCUAAAAAGAGGUAAAAUACAGAGAUAUCAACUCCCCCAAACUUAGCUUUUGUUUGCCCUCAAGCAAACAAAUAGAACUAAGCUGGAGAAGAGGUUUGAAGGUGGGGAUUCAGAACCAAAACAUGCAUAUAGAGUAAGUGAAUUCAAUGUCCAGGUUGCUAAUUCUAGAAUGCAAGGUUGAUUGAUCUCUACUUAAAAACUUUAGCCAUCUCCUUCACAUCUUAGCCUAACUUCUGCUUUAAUCAAUUCAAGCAUUCACAUCAGCACAUUCCUUUUAACAUUGAUUAUGUGAGAACUCAUUUGGUUUAAGGGUAGAGGUCAAGAGACAAAGAUGGUCCCUUAAAGAUCUGGUUUAAAUCGUAACAGGGGAUCUCUCAAGAAUGAUUGAGCUUUAGUAGAAUGCUAAAGGUGAGUUCCAAGUUAUGCAUACAAGGAUAAGACCCCAUCUACCCAGAAUGUAAUCAAUAUCAAUCCAAAUGGAAGUCCUAUUUCUAAUCCCAGAACAUGAACUUAACUCUACCCUUUUGCAUUCAAAGCAUUUCCAGACUCUUACUCAAAUCAUUCUCUUCUUUUCCUUGCUUUCUAUCUUAGGAGAAGCUUUCUUUUUCUUUGCUCUGUCUAGCGGAUUAGGAUUUCUUUAACAACUAGGGUUCCUUUUUCUUUCUUCUUAUAACACAAGGCUUUUUGGCCUUUCUCUUUAAGCUAUUACAAAACCCUUUUCUUUACUUUAACACUCCCAAAUCUUUUACUAGACUUUAUUUUACUUUAGCUAUUUCUCCUAAGGACUCAUUUCCCUUUUCUUUUCUUUCAGUGAUGAACACAACCUUAUCUUUCUUUUAAGCACAACCCAAACCCAGAAUUAAGCACCCACCUAGUCCUAUCUAGUCCAGAUAACGUGAACUAGAACUACAUGAGAUACUAUCCUUGUCGGUACAGACCUAACACUUUCUACCAAGCUCAAUCGAAAUAAGGCCUCACAGUCACACACAAAUGAUAAAUGGCUUGAAAGAAGGUUAAGGUUUAGGGUAGGGAAUAACUGCUCCAAAGAUGGGAGUCAGCUACUUGGACUAGCAAGAGGGAUCAAAAGGUAAAAGAAAGUCCAAGUAUUUUAAGGUAACCAUGAGUUCAUAACACAAUGCACAGUAUGAUAAUUGCAAGUCAAAAUUUAGGUUCAAAUUGAUAGGGAAAGGCAUCAGAUCAAAGCGAGUUUCAACUAAGAACAAGAAAAUCAAGCGUUGAAUUCAAAAGAUGGUGCGGUCUUACUUCAAGUUCAAUCGAUUAUGCAUUAGGGAACUAACAACCUGGGCACUGAGUUCUACUUAGUGAAUAAGCAUAUUUACAAGGUUAUAAUCAUCAUAAUCUCCAAUGCAAAUGCAUGAUGCAACAGCCCUAAGUGAAAGCAUACUAAAACAAUCCUAAAAUGACAAUGCAAGCUAUAUGAACACUCUGUUUUUGUGAAACAAUUUUCGAAAAUUUUCAAAUUUUUAUGGUUUUUCUAUGCCUUAGAUGCAAUGAUGCAAAAUUUGAAAUAAGAGCAAAACAAACGAUGUCAAAUACUCCCUGAGCCCUCCCCCAAACUUAAAUUACACAGUCCUCUGUGUAACAAAAGCUUGGAAGAGAGUACUCAGGGCAAACCAACAGAGAAACAAAAUGAAAGAUGGUAUAAACAAUGGUGUAGUGGAGUCCUUACCUGGCCUAGGUGAAGAAAGCAGAGACAUAGUCAUCCAUGCUCUCACUCGUGUAGCUCCAAGGUACUAGCUGGGAUGAGCUCGGAACAGUGUGAUCUGGUUGUUACUCUGGUUGCUCGAAUUGGUGCUCUGGUUGCUGCUCGAGUGGCUUGUUCGAGUACAGUACUCGAGUACUAUACCGUUUCUGUAGAAAAAUUUUCCUGAGCUUUUCCUAAACCAAAACCUUCCUCUUUUUGCCUGUAAAUCAAAAAUACUAAAGAAACACAUUAAAAAUAACAAGAAAUAAAACCAUAUUUACAGAGAUAAACAUGGGAUUUCCUCCCAAGUGAGCUUGUUUAAAGUCUUUAGCUUGACUUUUCUUACUCCCUUUUUAAAUGCUGAGAGGUUCCUGAAGAUGAACUGUUGCUCCUUCAGGAAUGAUACUGUCUGCAAGAUACUUCUUGACUCUUUGGCCAUUCACUCUGAACUCUGAACCAUCCUUAGCAAACAGUGAUACUGUACCAAAUGGUAGAACUUCUUUGAUAGUGAAAGGACCGGACCAUCUCGAUUUGAGCUUUCCGGGAAAUAGCUUCAGUCUGGAGUUGAAUAGUAAGACUUGGUCUCCAGCCUUGAAGUCUUUAGGUGAAAUCUUUUUAUCGUGAAAGGCUUUUGUCCUCUCCUUGUACACCUUCGAACUUUCAUAAGCUUCCAGCCUUCUUUCUUCAAGUUCGUGCAGAUCAACCGAUCUCUUCUCUUGAGCUUCUUUUAUAUCUAGAUUCAGCAACUUGGUAGCCCAGAUGGCCUUAUACUCAACUUCAACCGGAAGGUGACAUGACUUCCCGUACAGCAUCUGGAAUGGAGUCCUUCCUAUUGGUGUUUUGUAAGCAGUCCGGUAAGCCCAAAGCGUAUCGUCCAACUUGGUAGACCAAUCUCUCUUUGAAACACCAACAACCCUUGCAAGUAUGGCUUUGAUCUGUCGGUUGGAUACUUCUACUUGCCCGCUGGUCUGAGGAUGAUAAGGAGUAGCCACCUUAUGCUUCACACCAUGCUUCUUUAACAAGCUCUCAAAGACCUUAUUGAUGAAAUGAGAGCCACCAUCACUGAUCACUGCUUUAGGUAUACCAAAUCUGGGGAAUAUGAUGCUCUUGAACAGCUUCAAGACAACCUUAUGAUCAUUAGUUGGAGAAGCAAUGGCCUCAACCCAUUUGGAGACGUAGUCCACAGCAACUAAGAUGUACUUAUUCCCGUGAGAAGAAGGAUUAAAAGGACCCAUGAAGUCAAUUCCCCAAACGUCGAAGACUUCAACUUCCAAGAUCGGGUUCUGUGGCAUUUCGUUCUUCCUAGUUAUAUUUCCCAUUCUCUGGCAGGGAUCACAUUUGGCAAUGAAUCCAUGUGCAUCUUUAAACAUGGAAGGCCACCAAAGGCCGGCUUGGAGAACCUUCUGUACUGUCUUGAAGGUAGCAAAGUGACCGCCAUAAGCAGAACCAUGACAGUGUUCCAGCACUCCUUGAACUUCCUCUUCAGCAAUACACCUUCUAAAUAGGCCAUCAGUACCCUUCUUAUACAAAUAAGGUUCAUCCCAGUAGUAAUGGUUGAUGUCUCUAAAGAACUUCUUCUUCUGGUAAGCAUGAAGGUAUUUGGGGAUUUCUCCACAUAUAAGGUAAUUCACAAGGUCAGCAUACCAUGGAAGCUCUUCUUCCUUGACCGCACAUGCUACUUCGAUUUCCUUCUUGUUGUACACUAUUUCGUAACUCUUGAUGGCUAACAGCUGCUCUUCAGGCAUUGAAUCGUCAAUAGGGAUUUCAUCUUCAAUCCGCAUUCUGGACAAGUGAUCAGCUACUCCGUUCUCUAUACCCUUCUUAUCAACAAUCUCCAUAUCAAACUCCUGAAGUAACAAAAUCCAUCUCAGUAGUCUAGGCUUGGUAUCCUUCUUAGCAUAGAUGUGUCUCAACGCUGCAUGAUCUGUGUAGACUAUCACUUUAGAACCUACCAGGUAGCUUCUAAACUUCUCAAAUGCAAAGACUACAGCCAGCAACUCUUUCUCUGUUGUAGCAUAUCUCCCUUGAGCAUCGUCUAACGUCCUACUCGCAUAGUAAAUGACAUGCAACUUCUUAUCUAUCUUCUGACCCAACACAGCUCCAACUGCAUAGUCUGAAGCAUCACACAUGAUCUCAAAAGGAUGAUCCCAGUUUGGUGCUUGGACGAUUGGAGCAGAUACUAAAGCUUCUUUAAUCUGGUGGAAAGCUCUCAUACACUCUUCAUCAAAGACGAAUUCGGUCUCCUUGCAGAGAAGUCGGGUAAGUGGUCUGGCAAUCUUUGAGAAGUCCUUGAUAAAUCUCCUGUAGAAACCAGCAUGACCCAAAAAGCUUCUGAUAUCCUUGACAGUUUCCGGAGGCUGCAACUGUACCAUAACGUCUAUCUUGGCUUUAUCAACCUCAAUCCCUUUCUCUGAUAUCUUGUGUCCCAGUACUAUACCCUCUCUGACCAUGAAAUGGCACUUCUCCCAGUUUAGCACUAGAUUGGUUUCCUCACACCUUGUCAGAACCCUGCAUAGAUUUAACAAACAAGAGGAGAAGGAGGAGCCAUAGACUGAGAAAUCGUCCAUAAAGACUUCCACCGUCUCCUCAAUUAAAUCCGAGAAUAUUGAAGUCAUACACCUCUGAAAUGUAGCAGGUGCAUUACAUAAUCCAAAAGGCAUUCUUCUAUAUGCAAAAGUUCCAUAAGGGCAAGUAAAAGUGGUUUUCUCUUGAUCAUUAGGGUGAAUUGGUAUUUGAAAGAAACCACUAUAUCCAUCAAGAAAGCAGUAGUAUGGGUGAUUAGCUAGCCUUUCUAGCAUUUGAUCAAUAAACGGUAAAGGAAAGUGAUCUUUUCUAGAUGCAGCAUUUAGCUUUCUAUAAUCAAUGCACAUUCUAUGUCCUGUUAUAGUUCUAGUAGGAAUCAAUUCAUCUUUAUCAUUUUUUAUAACAGUCAUUCCACCCUUCUUAGGUACACAGUGAACCGGAGAUACCCAAGUGCUAUCUGAAAUAGGGUAGAUUACACCCGCUUCCAAUAGUUUAAGUAUCUCCUUCUUAACUACUUCUUUAAGAUUAGGAUUCAAUCUUCUUUGUGGUUCAAUGCUAGAGUAAGAUUCAUUUUCAAGAUGGAUCCUAUGCAUGCACAAACUAGGUGAGAUUCCUUUAAUAUCAGACAGAGAAUAACCAAUUGCUCUCCUAUACUUUCUAAGUUCAUUCAAUAGCAAAUGCACCUCAUCAUUAUUCAAAUUAGCAUUAAUGAUCACAGGGUAGGUAGAGUUUGUUCCAAGGAAUGCGUACCUUAGACCUUGAGGGAGCGGUUUAAGAUCAACUUUCGGAGCUUUAUGUUCAGACCAGUCGUCUGAUGCACAAGUUGAUGGUAUACUCGAGUGUGUGUUUUCGGCCUCCUCAGAUGGUCUGCUCGAGUUGCUACUCGAGUAGUGUGCUCGAGUAGUUGCUGAAUCGUCCUCAGUUACUGCCAAAACCUCUGUUGGAGACACAAUCAGCUCUUCAAAGUACUCUGGACCUUCUACUUCUUUAUGUGAGUCUAAAAGCUUCUUAUAUCCCAAGGUCUCCAAGUGCAAAUAUCCGUCUUCUCCGUCUUUGGUUAAAGCACUCUGUAAGUGAUCUUCUUCAGAAAGCUCUUCCAACAAUUCGUCGGCUAAUCUAUCCAUCUCUUCAAUCCAGAAGACUUGUCCGUCUAUGGUGGGUUUCUUCAUUGUUUUAGUGAUGUCGAAUGUCAUCUUUAAGUCUUCUCCGAGGUUUAAGUCGAUCUUACCUCUCCUGACAUCAAUGAGAGCCCCAGCAGUUGCUAAGAAAGGUCUCCCUAGUAUAAGAGGAUCCUUUGGCUCUUCAUCCAUUUCUAGAACAACAAAGUCUGUAGGGAUCUCUACCCUUCCAAUUCUUACAGGUAGAUCCUCUAACAUACCAUGAGGGACUCUUACGGAUCUGUCGGCUAAGAUUAGUUGGAUAUGGCAGGACUUGUACUUGUUGAAUCCAAGUCUUCUUGCUACUGAGAGUGGCAUCAAACUGACAGAUGCUCCUAGAUCACAUAGGCAUUUGUUGAAGAACAAAGGGCCUAGUGAACAGGGUAGAGUAAAUGAGCCGGGAUCCCCAAGCUUCUUUGGUAUGAUCUUCUUCUGUAUGAUAGCACUGCAUUCAUGGCUCAACACAACCAUUCCUUGUACUUCCUGAAUUCUCUCCAUUACCAUGUCUUUCAAGAACUUGUGAGAAUCUGGAAUUAACAUGAAAGCAUCAAUGAGAGGCAUCCUUACUUCAAGUUCUUUGAUGUGUUUAGCAAACAUGGCUCUGUACUUCUCAUUGAUGUCCCUCUUGAAUCUUCCUGGGAAUGGUAUUGACUCUUAGCUUGAUCCCUAGGUACAGCAUCUUGGUCAAGCUUAGUGGUGUCUUCUACUUGAGUUUCAUUCUGAAUAGAAUCCUCCCCUUCUUGAAUCUCACUGUCCUCAGUGAUAGGAGCUUGGUUAGGACGAGCACGCAGCUCUCGACCACUGCGGAGUUGAAUAGCAUGAGCAUACUCCUUCAGAUUCUGAAUAGCUUUCCCGGGUAGUUGUCUGGGAUGUGUAGGGGCAGAAGUAGAAGCAGCUUGGCUCUCUAUGUACUUCACCUUGGAGUUUAGAGCCUCAAUCUUGACAUGUAGAUCAUUGUAGGAGCAGUCAACUUUGUUUUGAAUCUCAGCCAUCUUCUUAUCACCAGCUGCUUGACCGUGUAGAAUCUGCUGAAGCAUUUGCUUCAUGUCUUGAUCUUGUGCAGGUGGAGCUUGUUGGGGUUGCUGUGCAAAACCGGGUGGUGGAUUAUAUUGUUGAUAACCGCCACUAAACUGCUGCUUUGGGACAAAGCCUUGAUUGUAUGGUAUGAAUGGCUUGGACUGGUUCUGUUGUUGCUGAGGGUAAACCUGAUCUUGAGGGUUUGCAACAUUCGUGCUCCGGUAAGAUAGAUUAGGAUGAGCAGGCUUGUAGGGGUUUUAGCCCUUGUUGUAGCCACCUUGAUUCUGAACGUAGCUGACUUCUGCAGCCUGAGUGUUCUCCCCUUCUUGGAUUUGAUAGUGCUCUUCUUCAGUGAUAUAGUGGACUGGUUUCUGGUUAGUAAGCAGAAAUUUAUCCAGCUUGUCGUUGAGAGCCUGAACCAUCUCCUUAGUAUGCUUUGCAUCCGGAUCUCCAAUACCUCUGUUGGAGCGAUCAAAAUCCUCGUUAUAGUUACCAUCAGAUAGAGCUAAGUUCUCUAUCAAUUCCCAGCCUUCCUCAACAUCCUUAUUCAAGAAAUUCCCAUUAGAGGCAGUGUCUAGCAACAUUCUGAUCUUGGGCAAAACUCCCCUGUAGAGUGUGCUGAGUAGUGAAGCCUUCUUGAAACCAUGGUGUGGACACUGUAUAGUGUAGCCUUUGAAUCUCUCCCAGGCCUCACAAAUGGAUUCAGACUGCUUUUGAGUAAAACUGGAGAUUUCAUUUCGUAGACGUGCAGUUCUUGAAUUGGAGAAGAACUUUGUUAAGAAAGCCUUCUUGCAAUCGUCCCAAGAUGUGAUGGAGCCAGCAGGUAGUGUCUUCUCCCAGUGGUGUGCUUUGUCUCCCAGCGAGAAGGGAAACAGACGUAGCUUGAAGCUGUCUUCACUAACACCAUUGAUUUUGGUGAGGCUGCAGAGCCUAUCAAAAUUAUCCAAGUGAUCCAAGGGAUCUUCCAGAGGCAACCCAUGAAACUUGUUACCUUGAAUCAUUGAGAUCAAUCCACUCUUGAUCUCGAAAUUGUUGUUCUGGACAGGAGGUGGAACGAUGCCCUGUCUCUGUUGAUGGUUGCGUGGUGCAUCACCAUCACCAAUGUUCCUUGGUAUCCCAACUCCCUGAUUGUCGUGAUCUUGUUCUUCCAUAGCAGCUGGAUUGUGCUGUUCACAACCGUCUCUGUCUCUACGCUCUCUCAACUCACGAGCUAAACGAUUGAUGUUGUCUCUGUAGCUGAUGAGAUUGUCAGAACCUUUGGAACGAGUUUGCAUGCACGUGUUGAGUUGGUACUCGAGCUAGUGCCUGGAACACAAAAACAAGCAGUUGAAGAGAGUAGUUAGUAACCAAAGUAAAGAAAGAACUUGAUCUUAGUAAUUCUAAAAUCUUGAAUGAAACAAGUAGACACCCAAAUGGCAACGGCGCCAAAUUGAUACUAGGAUUUUACUAUCAAUUACCCUAAUAUACUUUCAUGUCAUUGCAGUAUAAGAGGUUAUCAAUCCAAUCAGGUGCUCUUACUAUCAAUCAAGAUAUGCUCAGAGAUAACUAAGUCAAGCCAAGCAGAAUAUUGUUUUGUUAUCUAGCAAUACUAAGCGAUCAUGCAUAAGUGAUAAAACUACAGAACAGGAGUGAUCAUGCAUAAAGAGAAAGAACUAUCAAUAUUAAGCAGCAAUAAAUAACAGGUAAAGAGAUAAGCAAUCAAAUGAGAUAAAAGGUCCUGAGGAUAGGGUAAUCGAUUAUAGCAGUCUCCUUAAUCUACUUAGGUGGUUAACAAUCCAAACAGGCUAUCCCUAGACAAUAGAUUCAACUACAGAUCAAUCCACUCUCGUGACAGAGAUCCUCAAGCAAUACCAGUUCCAGACCUAAUCAUCAUUAGCGAAAUCUAGCAAACCAGGCAAUAAGAUUCAAUCUAAUAUAGUCAAUAAACAUUCUAAACAUCCAAUCUCUUGGGCUAGAGUAUGUAAAUCUCUGGAGUAGUUGGUUCAGACAUUUCAUCGAACACCUGGUGGGUGUGGAAAUGUCUAGGUUCAAAUCCCAGUUGAUCAGAAAGGAAUAAGCACUAAGUACUACUAAUCCAGAAGGGAUUCAAGCAAUUCUACACUUAACCACCUAAAUAAACUAAGGAUUCCACACCUAAUCUAUCCCAUCCUCAAGAACCCUAAUCCACUACUCAAGAACACUGAAGAACAUCAUGCAUAAAAACCCAGAAAAUUGCACAAACCCAGAAAUCAUUGAAAAUCAAGUAUGUUAUAGAUGAGACAGAGAUCUACAACUUUGAAGAAGAAAGUAAUCGCAAAAACUCAAAGGAUCAAAAGUAAUUUGGAUUACAAAAGUUUGUAGAAAUAUUGUUCAGAGGAUAAAAGCGAGAUCCUUUGGGCAAAGCCCUAAGAGGUCUAUUUAUAGCAAAAGUAGAAAACCCUAGUACACAAAACGACAAAAUAGAAAGUCGGUUUAGGGUCUACUCGAGCUGGUACUCGAGUGGCUUGGUCGAGUAGUCCAUUCUUCAAAGGUUGCAUCUUGCUCGGGUAAGUCUCUUAGGUCCAGUUCGAGUAGCCUGUUCGAGUAGGUUGGUCGAGUAUGUCUUGGUCUUCUCUUCAGAAAUCUGCUCGAGUACACUGCUCUGGCUCUGCUCGAGUACACUGCUCGAGUACACUACUCUGGAACUGCUCUGGCACUGCUCUUGCACUGCUCGAGUACACUGCUCUGGCACUGCUCCUUAGUACCUGAAUGUACCAGAUACAACUCCAAAAUGCAAGAAUGCAUGCUAUGCUAAUGUAGAAUACUCUAAGUAUGCAAAGUGAUGCAAAAUGACUACAAAUGACAGUAAAUAAGAGUGAAUACUAAGCUAAAUGCAUAGCAAAUGUAUGCUAAAAAGAGGUAAAAUACAGAGAUAUCACAACCUCCAAAAGAUGCCCGAAAUAACCAAUCUCGAAACUGUUCAUGUUCCAUAGCACAAAUUUGCACCACUUUUCAGCAAUUACUUGGCCAGGAAGGAAUACACAUAACUCCUUGAUUUUAAU
This 11762-nucleotide long non-coding RNA is filed under the name Arabidopsis lyrata. Its description in RNAcentral is "long non-coding RNA (ALYR_LNC003146)". The stretch from base 9382 to 9488 matches the Rfam family "Plant small nucleolar RNA R71". The record is from RNAcentral. Lineage: Eukaryota; Viridiplantae; Streptophyta; Magnoliopsida; Brassicales; Brassicaceae.